RNAcentral lists this ribosomal RNA (572 nucleotides) under uncultured bacterium. RNAcentral describes it as "partial 16S ribosomal RNA". It matches the Rfam family "Bacterial small subunit ribosomal RNA", at positions 355 to 920 of the family's 1533-position model. The record is from RNAcentral.
UGGGGAAUUUUGGACAAUGGGCGAAAGCCUGAUCCAGCAAUGCCGCGUGUGUGAAGAAGGCCUUCGGGUUGUAAAGCACUUUUGUCCGGAAAGAAAUCCUUGGCUCUAAUACAGUCGGGGGAUGACGGUACCGGAAGAAUAAGCACCGGCUAACUACGUGCCAGCAGCCGCGGUAAUACGUAGGGUGCAAGCGUUAAUCGGAAUUACUGGGCGUAAAGCGUGCGCAGGCGGUUUGCUAAGACCGAUGUGAAAUCCCCGGGCUCAACCUGGGAACUGCAUUGGUGACUGGCAGGCUAGAGUAUGGCAGAGGGGGGUAGAAUUCCACGUGUAGCAGUGAAAUGCGUAGAGAUGUGGAGGAAUACCGAUGGCGAAGGCAGCCCCCUGGGCCAAUACUGACGCUCAUGCACGAAAGCGUGGGGAGCAAACAGGAUUAGAUACCCUGGUAGUCCACGCCCUAAACGAUGUCAACUAGUUGUUGGGGAUUCAUUUCCUUAGUAACGUAGCUAACGCGUGAAGUUGACCGCCUGGGGAGUACGGUCGCAAGAUUGAAACUUAAAUGAAUUGACGGGGUC